Molecule: ribosomal RNA, 490 nt
Filed under: uncultured bacterium
Lineage: Bacteria
Description: partial 16S ribosomal RNA
Rfam family: Bacterial small subunit ribosomal RNA
Source: RNAcentral
AUUGAACGCUGGCGGCAUGCUUUACACAUGCAAGUCGAACGGCAGCGGGGUAGUGCUUGCCCUACUGCCGGCGAGUGGCGAACGGGUGAGUAAUAUAUCGGAACGUACCGAGUAAUGGGGGAGAACCAAUCGAAAGACUGGCUCAUACCGCAUACGUCCCGAGGGAGAAAGCGCAGGAGCGCAAGACCCCGCGUUAUUCGAGCGGCCGAUAACUGAUUAGCUAGAUGGUGGGGUAAAGGCCUACCCAAGCGACGCUCAGUAGCGGGGCUGUGAGGACGAUCCGCCCCACUGGGACUGAGACACGGCCCCGACUCCUAAGGGAGGCAGCAGUGGGGAAUUUUUGACAAUGGGGGCAACCCUGAUCCAGCCAAGCCGCGUGUAUGAAGAAGGCCUUCGGGUUGUAAAGUACUUUUGUUAGGGAAGAAAAGGGAAGUGCUAAUACCACCUUUUGCUGACGGUACCUAAAAGAUAAGCACCGGCUAACUACGUG